CCCCUCUCAGGAUCGCACCUGGAGAGUUUCCAGUAUUCUACCAGUCUCAGCUAUAGGAGGGAGAGUCAAGUAGAGACAUACUCAUUCCAUUCCUAGCUUAGGCAGUGGCUAGCAAGUGGAAGGGAAUCUGCUCUAAGU
Small nucleolar RNA from Ornithorhynchus anatinus (platypus), 138 nucleotides. The record is from RefSeq and is a predicted model, not a curated record. NCBI's taxonomy places the organism in Eukaryota, Metazoa, Chordata, Mammalia, Monotremata, Ornithorhynchidae.